This 253-nucleotide ribosomal RNA is filed under the name uncultured bacterium. RNAcentral describes it as "partial 16S ribosomal RNA". It matches the Rfam family "Bacterial small subunit ribosomal RNA", at positions 524 to 776 of the family's 1533-position model. The record is from RNAcentral.
UACGUAGGGUGCAAGCGUUAAUCGGAAUUACUGGGCGUAAAGCGCGCGCAGGCGGUCCUUUAAGUCUGAUGUGAAAGCCCACGGCUCAACCGUGGAGGGUCAUUGGAAACUGGGGGACUUGAGUGCAGAAGAGGAAAGCGGAAUUCCACGUGUAGCGGUGAAAUGCGUAGAGAUGUGGAGGAACACCAGUGGCGAAGGCGGCAUCCUGGACCGACACUGACGCUGAGGCGCGAAAGCUAGGGUAGCAAACGGG